AAAAUUCCUUUUUUUUAAAAAAAAAAAAAAAGAAAAAAAAGAAGAUUCCUGCUAUGGAAAAAGAUUGUGAUUAUGAUACACCAAUUUGUAGUAGUAAUCUGGGAAUCAUAAAAUGUGAUAUAAUAUGUAGCAUGAAUUCCUUACAAAUUCCCAACAUCAAAAUAAAAUCUAAUUUAAAAACUAACAUUUGUCAUCAUUCAGGUUCAAAUGGAGAGUGAAGAUCUGCAGAUAAAACCAAAGCUCUACGAACGCUCCACUACGUUGCAUAUUUUGGGCCAUCUCAGGGGUAGGUGUAUCAGGGGUAGGUGUAUAAAGGGUAGGUGUAUCAGGGGUAAGUGUAUCGGGGGUAGGUGUAUCAAGGGUAAGUGUAUUAGGGGUAGGUGUAUUGCUCAGCACCAUUAUAAGACGCUGUUUCUGAGGGCUGUAAAUAACUGCUCUUCCUUACCAGGUCUACCUUCAUAACUGGCUGUGGGAGAAUCCUGUCUGGCCUGAAGCUCUGAAGAUCUGCACUGCUAUUUGGGAUGCCAUUGCUGAUGGGAUGCUCACUGUUAUCUCUUGCCGUAUAAGGUGACACUCUGGUGCUUUUGUUUAGAUCGAAUCCAAAAGUCUUGUUAUGUUCCUGGAACUGCUCGGACCGUUUCAGAACCUGGGUGCUGUGGGUGGGUUGGAGGCCACUGCUCAGAGGUGGUAGAAGGGAAGGAGAACUAGGGUUGGUUAAACCCGGGGGAUAGGUAUAGACUGGGGCAGGAGUCUGGUAGGUUGGCGGUAAGGCAAAAGCUGGCUGGUGCAAGUAAGUGGGUCGAGGGUACAAGUGCGACCCGCUGUAGGUGGAGGUAUAAUCUUGAGAUAUGGCCCCAUUACCGAAUUGCUCUGAAAGGUUACUUGCACUCGCUACAGAACCUUUUAUUCCAUCGAUCCCAUCUGCGUUAUAGCCCAUAGACCAGGCAUCCUGGCCGGGUUCACUUCUUCGGAAUGCGCCGGGCUCCGGGUAGACCGGAGUGAAGGAAUACCUCUCAGCAUAGCGCUUCAGCAAGGUGGAGGCGCUGAGGGCGCUGAUAUCGUCAGAAUAUCCGGUGAAAGCAGGAUGACUGGGCUGCGGAUAUGAAACAGGCUUAGGGUGGGCAGGAGGUGACGUGGUGGAAGUGAUGUCAUAGUGUUGCUCUGCCCACUCAGACGACCAGUGCAUCUUUACCACAUCU
Ictalurus punctatus (channel catfish) is the source of this 1199-nucleotide long non-coding RNA. NCBI's taxonomy places the organism in Eukaryota, Metazoa, Chordata, Actinopteri, Siluriformes, Ictaluridae. The record is from Ensembl.